This 497-nucleotide ribosomal RNA is filed under the name uncultured bacterium. Its description in RNAcentral is "partial 16S ribosomal RNA". It matches the Rfam family "Bacterial small subunit ribosomal RNA", at positions 28 to 507 of the family's 1533-position model. The record is from RNAcentral.
GACGAACGCUGGCGGCGUGCCUAAUACAUGCGAGUAGAACGCUGAAGAGAGGAGCUUGCUCUUCUUGGAUGAGUUGCGAACGGGUGAGUAACGCGUAGGUAACCUGCCUUGUAGCGGGGGAUAACUAUUGGAAACGAUAGCUAAUACCGCAUAACAAUGGAUGACACAUGUCAUUUAUUUGAAAGGGGCAAUUGCUGCACUACAAGAUGGACCUGCGUUGUAUUAGCUAGUAGGUGAGGUAAUGGCUCACCUAGGCGACGAUACAUAGCCGACCUGAGAGGGUGAUCGGCCACACUGGGACUGAGACACGGCCCAGACUCCUACGGGAGGCAGCAGUAGGGAAUCUUCGGCAAUGGGGGCAACCCUGACCGAGCAACGCCGCGUGAGUGAAGAAGGUUUUCGGAUCGUAAAGCUCUGUUGUAAGUCAAGAACGGGUGUGAGAGUGGAAAGUUCACACCGUGACGGUAGCUUACCAGAAAGGGACGGCUAACUACGUG